RNAcentral lists this non-coding RNA (111 nucleotides) under Thermosipho melanesiensis. RNAcentral's name for it is "TPP sequence". It matches the Rfam family "TPP riboswitch aptamer (THI element)". Rfam says of the family: Vitamin B(1) in its active form thiamin pyrophosphate (TPP) is an essential coenzyme that is synthesised by coupling of pyrimidine and thiazole moieties in bacteria. Lineage: Bacteria; Thermotogati; Thermotogota; Thermotogae; Thermotogales; Fervidobacteriaceae. The record is from RNAcentral.
AAAUUACCCAAGGGGAGCUCCAUAAGCCGGGGCUGAGAGGAAGACGGAAGUCUUCGACCCUUAGAACCUGAACCGGGUAAUACCGGCGGAGGGAUGGGAAAUUAUCCCUCC